Schistosoma margrebowiei is the source of this 79-nucleotide non-coding RNA. NCBI's taxonomy places the organism in Eukaryota, Metazoa, Platyhelminthes, Trematoda, Strigeidida, Schistosomatidae. The record is from Rfam.
AGCCUUCUGUAUCCGUGCUGAGAUUUCGUCACACACCAGACCACAAGGACUAAUGAGACUUCCACAAGGAUGUACAUCU